This 704-nucleotide ribosomal RNA is filed under the name uncultured Zelleromyces. RNAcentral's name for it is "eukaryotic LSU rRNA". The stretch from base 230 to 383 matches the Rfam family "5.8S ribosomal RNA". The record is from RNAcentral. Lineage: Eukaryota; Fungi; Basidiomycota; Agaricomycetes; Russulales; Russulaceae.
GAUCAUUAUCGUACAAAAUGUGAGGGGCAUGCAAGGGCUGUCGCCGAUUUCAGUCAGUCGUGCACGCCAGGGUGUGUCCCCUCACAUAAACAAUCCAUCUUCACCCCUUGUGCAUCACCGCGUGGGCUUCCCUCCUCGGAGGGGGGCUUGCGUUUUCACACAAACCCCCCCCCUUUUAAAAAGUGUAGAAUGAACUCAUGUAUAAUAUGCGUUAACCCGCAAUCAAUACAACUUUCAACAACGGAUCUCUUGGCUCUCGCAUCGAUGAAGAACGCAGCGAAAUGCGAUACGUAAUGUGAAUUGCAGAAUUCAGUGAAUCAUCGAAUCUUUGAACGCACCUUGCGCCCCUUGGUAUUCCGAGGGGCACACCCGUUUGAGUGUCGUGAACACCUCAACCUCUUUGGUUUCUUCUAAGAGACUGAAGCAGGCUUGGACUUUGGAGGCCUUUGCUGGCAAACGCCAGCUCCUCUUAAACAAAUUAGCAGGGUCCUCUUUGCCGAUCCUCGACGUGUGAUAAGAUGUUUCCAUGUCUUGGUUUCUGGCUCUGUCACCCUUUGGGACCUGCUUCUAACCGUCUUUGACCCUGUGGUYGAGACAAUGUUUUGAGCGUGCGCCUCCCUUCUCGGGAAGGAGCCCACUUGAACCCAAUUGAACCAUUGACCUCAAAUCGGGUGAGACUACCCGCUGAACUUAAGCAUAUCAUA